RNAcentral lists this ribosomal RNA (442 nucleotides) under uncultured bacterium. RNAcentral describes it as "partial 16S ribosomal RNA". It matches the Rfam family "Bacterial small subunit ribosomal RNA", at positions 338 to 795 of the family's 1533-position model. The record is from RNAcentral.
CCUACGGGAGGCAGCAGUAGGGAAUCUUUCACAAUGGGCGAAAGCCUGAUGGAGCAACGCCGCGUGCAGGAUGAAGGCCUUAGGGUUGUAAACUGCUUUUAUAAGCGAGGAAUAUGAUGGUAACUUAUGAAUAAGGAUCGGCUAACUACGUGCCAGCAGCCGCGGUCAUACGUAGGAUCCGAGCAUUAUCCGGAGUGACUGGGUGUAAAGAGUUGAGUAGGUGGGAUAAAAAGUAGCUAGGGAAAUCUGGUGGCUCAAACAUUCAGACUAUUAGCGAAACUGUUAAGCUCGAGAGCGUUAGGGGUAGCUGGAAUUUCUAGUGUAGGAGUGAAAUCCGUAGAUAUUAGAAGGAACACUCAUAGCGUAGGCAGGUUACUGGGACGGUUCUGACACUAAGGCACGAAAGCGUAGGGAGCAAACGGGAUUAGAUACCCCGGUAGUC